Molecule: unclassified non-coding RNA, 287 nt
Organism: Cricetulus griseus (Chinese hamster)
Lineage: Eukaryota; Metazoa; Chordata; Mammalia; Rodentia; Cricetidae
Gene: 7SK
Rfam family: 7SK RNA
About the family: 7SK was discovered as an abundant small nuclear RNA in the mid-70s but a possible function has only recently been suggested. Two independent studies have found that 7SK RNA binds the CDK9/cyclin T complex (known as elongation factor P-TEFb).
Source: Ensembl
GUGUGAGCGUGAUCUAACUGUCACAUCUGCUGCCCUACUGACCACCAGGGAUGAUGAAGCGCAUCUGAUGCCAUAACAGGAUGUCCCCAUCCUGCCUCCCUUCCACAUGUCCAUCCCUUCAUGAGCUACAUGUUCAUUUAAAUAAAACAGACUUCUUCAGUGUUAGAGAAUAAUUCUUCAACAGAGGUUAUAGGAACCUACCCGGUUAGAAGGUUUAACCAGGCAUUCUAACGCGCAGUCUCCUUCAAAGGACAUUUCAUUGACCUUCAUACCAGAAUGUUGCAUAU